Molecule: non-coding RNA, 466 nt
Organism: Phoenix dactylifera (date palm)
Lineage: Eukaryota; Viridiplantae; Streptophyta; Magnoliopsida; Arecales; Arecaceae
Source: RefSeq, a predicted model, not a curated record
AUCUUUUUUUUUUAAUUAUUAGAGACUUGUGUAUAUACCCCUUGACAUAUGCUUUGUCGCAUGCUACUCAUGCUGCAACUGAGCUACAAACGUGGUUCUUCCCAUGCUUAAACCUUGAAGACAUUUCAUUUCUGAACUCAUUCGAGAUUCGACCAUAGAUAUGCUUGAGUGGAUAGGAAAUUCACGCGGAUUCAAAUGAAGUACCCUCUAUGUUAGUUGCAUUUCUAAGUUACAAGGAAUGUAAUUGUUGUAUAUGGUUUAACUAACUGUUGGUGUAAAAAGAUAGCUUACUCCUUUCCCUUAUGGUUCUCCUUGUGUAUUUGGAACCUCGAAGAUAUUUCAUUUCUGAACUCAAUUCACCCAUAGAUAUGCUUAUGAGUGGAGGGGUGUGUAUUGAGAAAUAUAGAACAGAACUGUAUAAUGUAUAAAUGCAUUUGGAUUUACAGAUAGCCUGAUUAUAUAUUUA